This 253-nucleotide ribosomal RNA is filed under the name uncultured bacterium. RNAcentral's name for it is "partial 16S ribosomal RNA". It matches the Rfam family "Bacterial small subunit ribosomal RNA", at positions 524 to 776 of the family's 1533-position model. The record is from RNAcentral.
UACGUAGGGGGCAAGCGUUGUCCGGAAUCAUUGGGCGUAAAGCGCGUGUAGGCGGUCCGGUAAGUCGGCUGUGAAAGUCCAGGGCUCAACCCUGGGAUGCCGGUCGAUACUGCCGGACUAGAGUUCGGAAGAGGCGAGUGGAAUUCCCGGUGUAGCGGUGAAAUGCGCGGAUAUCGGGAGGAACACCAAUGGCGAAGGCAGCUCGCUGGGACGUUACUGACGCUGAGACGCGAAAGCGUGGGGAGCAAACAGG